This is a non-coding RNA of Carica papaya (papaya), 985 nucleotides long. Lineage: Eukaryota; Viridiplantae; Streptophyta; Magnoliopsida; Brassicales; Caricaceae. The record is from RefSeq and is a predicted model, not a curated record.
GCCGCUCUCUAUUUCACUCUCCCAAUUCUCUCCUUCACGAUCAAACGCCGCCGGUUUCUUCUCUCUCCGUCGUCUAAAGUCUUUACCUCUCUCGCCGACUGGAGUGGCGUUCCGAUCGUUCUGUCUUCCUUAAUAUCACGUUUUUUCAGAUCAAUAUGGCCGCGAGAGCAUCAGCGAAAUAUUUCAGAGAAUUUCUGUUCAGAAGGACAACUUCAAGUCCUCUUGGAGCUUCCAGACAUUGCUCUUCUGCUGCUACACCAGCUCCCAAAGUUCCUCAUUCUUCGAAGAAAGUAAUCAGGUUAUCCCAAACAUAGGUACAAUAUCCUGAUGUAGAUCUUCUGUCAUCUGUAAACUCUGCCCAAUCUGCAUCAGUGUAAAUUUCAACACCUCUUCUUUCUGUCUUCUGAAAGAACAAUCCUUAUCCUGUAGUCAUUUUGAGAUACCUUAGAAUUCAAUACACAGCUCUUAUGUGAUUUUUAGUUAGCUGAUUCAUGAACUGACUUACUGUACUCACUGCAAAACUGAUGUCUAGUCUUGUAUAUGCUAAGUAGAUAAGUUUCUCAACAAGUCUUUGGUAUCUUCUUUUGUCAACCAUUUUAUCACUGAUUCUGGAUCCAAAUUUGAUAACUGAAUCCAUCAGGGUGUCAACGAGCUUGCUUCCUAGCAUCCCAAUCUCCUUUAGGAGAUCCAAAACGUACUUUCGUUGAGAUACUGAAAUUCCCUUUUGGGAUCUAGCCACUUCCAUACGGAAGAAGUAUUUCAGUACCCCAAGAUCUUUUAUUUCAAAUUCUCUGGUCAGGAAUUUUUUAAAUUUCUGAAUCUUCUCAAGGUGAUUUCCUGUAAGAAUGAUAUCAUCAACAUAUACAAUCAAAAUAGUUUUCUUACCUGAGAUGUAGUGUUUAACAAACAGUGUAUGAUCGGAUUGACAUUGUUCAUAUCUUUCAUAUUUUACGGCUCUUGUGAGUCUAUCAAAUCAUGCCAUUGG